This 433-nucleotide ribosomal RNA is filed under the name uncultured bacterium. RNAcentral describes it as "partial 16S ribosomal RNA". It matches the Rfam family "Bacterial small subunit ribosomal RNA", at positions 29 to 507 of the family's 1533-position model. The record is from RNAcentral.
AACGAACGCUGGCGGCAUGCCUAACACAUGCAAGUCGAACGAGACCUUCGGGGCUAGUGGCGCACGGGUGCGUAACGCGUGGGAACCUGCCCUUAGGUUCGGAAUAACUCCCCGAAAGGGGUGCUAAUACCGGAUAAUGUCUUCGGACCAAAGAUUUAUCGCCUUUGGAUGGGCCCGCGUUGGAUUAGCUAGUUGGUAGGGUAAAAGCCUACCAAGGCGACGAUCCAUAGCUGGUCUGAGAGGAUGAUCAGCCACACUGGGACUGAGACACGGCCCAGACUCCUACGGGAGGCAGCAGUGGGGAAUAUUGGACAAUGGGCGAAAGCCUGAUCCAGCAAUGCCGCGUGAGUGAUGAAGGCCUUAGGGUUGUAAAGCUCUUUUACCCGGGAUGAUAAUGACAGUACCGGGAGAAUAAGCUCCGGCUAGCUCCGUG